UGGAGAAGCGUUACUUUGAUGGUCAAAACACAAUCAAGUUGUCACAUCUCGAAACCAAAGGCGGAAACGUUCCGGGGCGGAGGACGUCAUGAAUAUCGCAACCAAUGUACAUAGUAAGCGUAGUAAACACAAAACAUUACAUUACAUAGGAUUAUUACAUUUUUUUGAAAGUAAAGUGUUACAUGUGUUAUACAUGUAUAUCAUAUGAACAAAAGUAAAGACGAGUCUUCUAAACGCUCCGUCUUCUCCAAAAGAUGGCGGUGUACCUGUCUAAUGCGGACCUGAGAAUACAAGCAGUUUGAAAAUCAACAUAAAGUUGGUGAGUUCAUAAGCGGUUUAGUUUUGAAAAGAAUGAGUUUCCUUUUGUUUUCUGAAAAAGUUGUUAUCCAAGAAAAUCCCAUAUUUUCUUAUAAAAAUAGUUUAGUUAUCAUUCGUUACACAGUUCGAUUACGAGUUGUUAUGUUAUCCCAGGAAAAUCCCAUAUUUUCCUAAUAGUUUAGUUAUCCAUUCGUUACACCAUUCGUUUACGAGUUGUUAUGUUAUCCCAGGAAAAUCCCAUAUUUUCCUAAUAGUUUAGUUAGUUCUUAGUUCGAAUUUCGAUGUACUAUUAUCUACCAUACUUAUAGUAUUAGUUAGGUAUUCUAAUAUCUUAGUUAUCCUACACACGAAUGUUGAUUAUCUACUGUACUUAGUUGUAUUUUCGAAUAUUUGGAUACACUCAGAAAUGUACAUUAACUGUAUAUUCGAUGUUCUGGUGAUUUCCAAAAGCGUACAUUAGACGUAUCUCCAAAGCUCUGUCGACAUCCAAAGGCGUGUGUUUUCGAAACUCGGUCGAUGUCCAGAGGCGUACUUUCAAAUUAUUUCUGAAACUCUGGUGACACUCAAGGCGUACACUAACUGUAUUUCCGAAGUCUUAGUGUCAUCCAAAGGCGUUCUUUCGUAUUCGUAUUCGUUCUAUUCCUAAUUGUACUUUCGUAUUCGUUCUGUUCCUAGUUGUACUUUCGUAUUCGUUCCAUUCCUAGUUGUACUUUCGUAUUCGUUCUGUCCUAACUGUACUUUCGUAUUCGUUCUGUUACUAUCCGAGGACGUAUCUUAUUAGUACUAAUCCCAGUUUAUGAUUAGUAUGAUUACUUUGCAAAUUAUAAUAUGUAAUAUAGAUAAUAACACUUUAUAAAGAAAUCUACAUUUAGUCUGAAAGUUUACUCUGCAAUUCGAACCAUUGGUUAAUACGAUUUUCGAUAAUACAAGCAUACAGUUUAUGAAACAUUUGAGCUGAAAAUAAUAAGUUUAAGUACAAGAUUUCCUUGUACUCUUGUUUGUAUUCCCCCCUGAAAACAUUUGAAAAACACGGAAAAAUAGUAGGGGUAUGAACUCACCGGUCAAGGGACGUGUCGGUUCGGAUGCUAAACAUCAGUUCGGGGCUUGAACGCGUGCGAGGUUCCUAUGUAAUAUGAAAAGAUACACAUUUGUAUCUAAUUAGGCUUUGAACUACUAAUUAUUUGAGGAUAUACACUUCUAGUCGCGAAAACACUUCAUUUCAAGUGUUUGGAGUGACCCGGGUAGUAUCUAAAGAUGUGUAGGGCCUAGAUAAGGAGUUUACUCUUCAAGAGUAAACCCUUAGGGGAGUUUACGGCCCAUUGACCAUAUCCCCAUGAGUUUACGGCCGUAAACUCAUGGAUGGUGGGUUUGUGGAUGCCAAAUGGUCAUACAAUGCACACGGGAAGGUUCUAGGGUUGAUUCCAUGGCUUAGGAAGUGAUCGGGACUCGAAAUGACCUUGGAUAAGAGUUUACGGUCUAUGAAGAUGUUCUUGGGGAGUUUACUACCUUAAACACAUGAGUUUAUGGUCGUAAACUCAUGUUUUUAAGAUAGUAAACUCUCCAAGAACAUCUUCAUAAACCGUAAACUCAUGUUUGCCCAUAAAUCAUGUGUUUUGGUGGUUAUAAGUCAAUCACAUGUGAUUCUAGUCUAACAUACAAGACAUACAAGGUGUUAGGGGCACUUAAACACCUUUUGGAGGUGUUUAUGGUCUAAGAAGAUGGGUUUAUGGUCCAAGAAUGUUCUUGGGCCGUAAACUCAAGUUUGACCCAUUUACAUAUGAUUUGGUGCAUCACAUGAAGGAUUAUAAGGUUCUACACUCGUAUGGAAGCAUUUGGAGGUGUUUAGGGGCAUUUUGACACUUUAAAAGGAGUUUAUGGUCCAUGAAUGUGGUUUUACGGUCCAAGCAUGUUCUUGGGCCGUAAACUCAUGUCCAUACCUCAAAUGACAUGAUUUUGGGGUCCUAAGCUCAUGCAUGCAAGUUUCUAAGUCGAAUCUAAGCACUAGAAGUGGUUUGGAGGGGUUUUGGAGCUUCAAAACCCUCAUUAGGGGUGUUUACGGUUUUGGGAGGACUCUUAGACGAUAUACACAUGUUCUUGAUGUUUUGGGUGAUUCAAACACGAAUUUGUAUGUAAAUCAAGUUAAACUACAAGUUAGGAUAGAUUGCUUACCAAAUUGAAGCUUGGAAGGGGGGUUUUUGGGAUCAAACUCGAGUUCUAGAGAGAGUAGUGAGAGAAAGUGUUUAGAGAGAGAGAGAAAAAGCUUUGAAAUGAUGUCACUCAAUCCCUUGUAAACUCAUGUUUUCCCAUAAAUCAUGUGUUUUGGUGGUUAUAAGUCAAUCACAUGUGAUUCUAGUCCAACAUACAAGACAUACAAGGUGUUAGGGGCACUUAAACACCUUUUGGUGGUGUUUAUGGUCUAAGAAGAUGGGUUUACGGUCCAAGAAUGUUCUUGGGCCGUAAACUCAAGUUUGACCCAUUUACAUAUGAUUUGGUGCAUCACAUGAAGGAUUAUAAGGUUCUACACUCGCAUGGAAGCAUUUGGAGGUGUUUAGGGGUAUUUUGACACUUUAAAAGGAGUUUAUGGUCCAUGAAUGUGGGUUUAUGGUCCAAGCAUGUUCUUGGGCCGUAAACUCAUGUCCAUACCUCAAAUGACAUGAUUUUGGGGUCCUAAGCUCAUGCAUGCAAGUUUCUAAGUCGAAUCUAAGCACUAGAAGUGGUUUGGAGGGGUUUUGGAGCUUCAAAACCCUCAUUAGGGGUGUUUACGGUUUUGGGAGGAUUCUUAGACCAUAUAUACAUGUUCUUGAUGUUUUGGGUGAUUCAAACAUGAAUUUGUAUGUAAAUCAAGUUAAACUACAAGUUAGGAUAGAUUGUUUACCAAAUUGAAGCUUGGAAGGGGGGUUUUCGGGAUCAAACUCGAGUUCUAGAGAGAGAGUAGUGAGAGAAAGUGUUUAGAGAGAGAUAAAAAAAGCUUCAAAAUGAUGUCACUCAAUCCCUUAUAUAAGGGUUGAGCUUAUGGCCCGGUGGGAUUCUACUCGAUACUGACGUUACACGGAGCUUUUGGUCGUACCCGAUAAAUUUUGCCGUAACUCAACUUGGUCGGAACUAAAAUUUUUCUAAAUGAAUAUUUUAACAUUUUUCUAAUGUUUUCCGACACUAGAAGUCAAAAUAAAAUUAAAUUGAUCAAAAGAUAACGGAAAAUUUUUUAAAUAAAAAUAAUCCUUAUUAACGGAAACGGUUACGGCAACGGGUUAAACUUCGGGUUGUCACACAAGUUUUGAUACUUCGUCUUUAAAUGACUUGUAUAAUCUUCUGAAAACUCACAAAGGAGAGGUGAAUGAGAUGGCAGAAGAGUUGAAACUAAGUUUGGGAGGUCCUUUGGCACUUGUUUCGAAAGUUACUGACAAAGAGUCGACUAAAAAAGAGAAUUCAGAUGAAGAAGGAUUUCUUAUGAAUUCAGACGAUGAGGCGAUUGCUUUUUACUCAAACAAUCGAGUAAAGAAGUUUUACAAGAAACCGUUCAAUCCAAAGAUGAAACAAGGUGAUGCUAAAGGAAGUUGCGUUAAAAAGUCAGCUGGUGAGGAGAAGAAAAAGUUUGAGAAAAAUGAAGCAAAGACUAAUGAAUCCAAAGCUGAGAAGAAACUUAAAGGAGAUUCGGGAAUUGAUUUCCACAACUGACACGGAGCUAAUCAUAUGGCGAAUGAUUGUAUGCUUUGUAAGAAAGAUGAAAAGAAGAAUAAAGUGAAGGACGAAGCUUACUAGGUGGAACGUUUGGAAGAGGUUUGUGCUAAAGAUAAAGGAAUGUCUUUGGUUGUACAAGGUGAAGGAGAGGAUAAUGGAACUUAUCAAAUCUGGUCAUCUGGAUCAGAUGAUGAGGAAAUGUGUAAUCUUACGCAUGGUGCUAUGUUCGCGAAGUAUGAAGAUGAUGAAAAAUAUAUGGUGACAGGUCAAUGUUUCAUGACCAAAACAGGAGAUAAAUCACCAAUGACGACUACGGUACGUUCUAUUCUUCAAUCUUUUAAUAUUCCUUUACAAGCUUAUGAUUAUGAGGUAAUUGCUUUUAAUGAUAUUGUUGCUUUUUUCGAUACUAUUGUUGUCUCUGCUAGUAAUGAAGCUAAGAAACUUAGUACUCAGUUGCUAGAGACCCAAAAUUUGUUGGAUACAAAGAAAAGCAGAGUAGAGUAUUUGGAAAUGCAAUUGAAAAACCUUGGUUGUGAUAGGGAAAACUUAGAAUAUGAUGUAAUAUUGCUUUUAGCUAAGAGAAACAUGUACUGUAAUACAGCUAAAAGACUUUAUGCAAAGAUAACUACUUUACAUCAUUCUUCUGAGAUAAGCAAAGAACAACAUAGGAAAUUAUUACCUUUUUUUAUUUUCGAAAGGGAGAAGGUUGAUAGUUUAUCAUAUGAUUGUGAGGAAACAAUAAUUGUUUUUGAUAAAGUCGUUGACAAUAGAUUUCCAUAUGGUGUUGUUAAAAUAGAUGUAUGUGUUGAUCCAAAUGAACUUGUUGAUGUAAUGAAUGAAACUUUGACCAAAAUUGAACAAAUCAAAAUUUUGAAAAGAACUGAGAAUUCGAAAUUUGACUCUUAAUCAAAUUUUGCUGAUAUCGAAGAUAAUUCUAAUAGUUUUAGCGAAAUCAAUGAAAUUGAGGAAUAGGAAUGUAUCGAUUGUUCUCAGUUAUCUGUCAUUAAUGUCACAUCUAAGUCAAAAGGCAAAGAGAUAUGUAAUGAUUUGAUGGUUAAGGUUGACACUGACAUACCCUUUACUUUGAAAGCUUGUGAUUUCGAUCAUGUGAGUGUCAGAGAUAGUCAAACUGAUAGUAGUGAUGAUGAGAAAGAGGAUGAAGUUUCAAAAAAUUCAAUGUUCGAAACGGAAAUUUCGAAAGAAAGUGAAAUUCCAAGAGUUGUUGUUGAUCAAGUGUAUGGAGACACUGAAAAAUUCGACAAAGUGAUGAUUGAAAGAGGUGCUCAUUAUAUUGAGACAGAUACAAUUGUCUAUCCAAAUUUCAAGUGCACAGAUGAUGUUAUCUUCAACACAACUUGAUAAGUGUUUCUCAACUUGUUGUGGGCACUGGCAAUCAAGUGGUUUUAACGAAGAAAGCAGCAUAAUUUCGAAUGUGGAAACCAAAGAAGUUUUGUUAAAAUCCAAAAGACAUGGUGACAUGUUCACUCUCGACAUUAAACCAAUAGUUGGGAAACCUUCUGUAUGCUUACUAAGAAAGCUUCAUCAGAUGUUAGCUGGUUAUGGCAUAGAAGACUUUCUCACUUGAAUUUUCGAAAUCUAAACAAAUUGGUGGUAAAUGAUCAUGUUCAUGGUUUACCUAUAUUAAAGUUUAGCAAUGAUACAUUGUGUGCAGCUUGCGAACAAGGAAAACAACAUAGGCAAGGACAUCCAAUUGUCAUAGAUUCGAAAAUUGUUUAACCGUUGGAGCUUCUUCACAUUGACUUAUGUGGACCAUCAACUGUUGAAACACUCAACAAGAAAUGGUACAUUUUAGUUAUUGUUGAUGAUUUUUCAUGAUUCACUUUGGUUUAUUUUCUCAGAUUAAAAUAUGAGGUAGCUCAAACAAUGAUCGAUUUCAUCAAGAAAAUUGAGAAAAACUUAAGGAAGAAUGUUCGAAAGAUCAAAAGUGAUAAUGGAACCGAAUUUAAGAACAAUGUUUUUGACUCGUUCUUAACAGAUAAAGGAAUUUCGCAUAAUUUUUCUUCACCAUAUACAACGCAACCAAAUGGUGUGGUUGAAAGACGAAAUUGUUCACUUUGCGAAGCAGCAAGAACAAUGCUCACAUAUGUGAAUCUUCCUCAAUAUCUUUGGGUUGAAGCAGUUUCUACUGCAUGUUUUACUCAAAAUCGUUCAUUCAUUCAUCGGCGUUUAAAUAUUACUCCACAUGAAAUUAUCAAUAACCGAAAGCCUAAUGUCAAAUUCUUUCAUGUUUUUGGUUGCAAGUGUUUUAUAAUGAAUCUCAAGGAUAAUCUUUCGAAAUUUCAGUCAAAGGCUGAUGAAGGCAUAUUCUUGGGAUAUUCACAUAAUUCGGUUGCUUAUCGAGUGUUGAACAAAAGAGCGCGAAGAUUAGAAGAAACAUUUAAUCUCACAUUUGAUGAUUUUUAUGUUAAAAGAGUCGAAAAAUGAUUUGAACAAUAUCCAAUUAUUAAUGAAUCAAAUACUUAAUCUAUAAAUGAAAAUUCAACAGAUUUUGAUUAUGAUUUAAUCUUUGGUGUUCCUAACAAGGCAGUUGAUGCAAAAGUUAAUGCAAUAGAUAAUCACAUUCCUGAAGCAUCAAAACACACUGAUGAUUUGACUUUAACACACGAGAGUUCAGAUUUACUCUCAAUGUCGAAUUCUCCAAGAAUUAGCAAAAGUAUGCUGAAUGAUCAAGUGGAGGGGGAGCACUUGCAUUCGUCUUCUCAGAUUGAGGGGGAACAUUCUUUCGAGGGGGAGACAAGGAGAAUGGAUGUAAAUGUUGAGGGGGAGCAAAAUCAUGGCCAGGGGGAGCAAAUUGAUAUUAAUAUGUCAAAUGGGAGUCAAAAUGAAAUUUUUCAUGAUUCAACUGAUAAUAUUUCCAUUGCAGGAUCAAAAAAUGAAGAAAUGAAUGAAGAUGCACCAUUGGAUUUUGAUCCAGCAUAUCCACUGCUGGAAAAUGGACAAGAAAUCAUCCAAGAGAACAAGUCAUUGGGAAUCCACAAGAUGGAGUUUUGACUAGCGCUCAAAUUCGUGCAAAGAAUGAGGUACUCAAUGCUCAUCAAGAGUUUUGCAUGUUUAAUGUUUUUAUUUUGAAAAUAGAGCCAAAGAUAGUUAAGUUUGCAAUGGAACAUUCAGAUUGGGUUGUUGCUAUGCAAUCCGAAGUUGCUGAAUUUGAACGAAAUAAGGUUUGGAGAUUAAUUCCUAAACCUGAUGAAGUUUCGAUUGUCGGUUUAAAAUGGAUUUUCAAAAAUAAAACUGACAAAGAUGGUAAUAUUGUUCGAAAUAAAGCAAGCCUUGUAGUUAAAGGUUAUUCGCAACAAGAAGGUAUCGAUUAUGAAGAAACCUUUUCCCCUGUUGCAAGACAUGAGGUUGUUCGAAUAUUUUUAGUCUAUGCAACUCACAAGGAUUUCGAUGUGUUUCAAAUGGAUGUUAAAUGUGCGUAUCUCAACGGUGAACUUGAAGAAAUAGUUUACGUUAAACAACCUCCAGUUUCGUAAAUGAAGAAUUUCCUAAUCAUGUUUAUAUCUUAGAUAAAGCAGUGUAUGGGUUAAAACAAGCACCAAGAGCAUGGUAUGCAACUCUUACCAAUUUCUUAAAACAAUCGAAAUUUAAACAAGGAAAAUUAAAGAAUGUUCGAAUCCCACGACAUUUGUUUCCCAACAGGAUCCAGCUAACACUUGUUAUUUUUUUGGAAUAUGAUUUCUAUAUGAGUAUCAUUCGUUGUCUUUGUCAUGAAAAUAAUUUCCAAAGCAUACUGGUCACUAACUACACUGGUCAAACAAGUAAUUUCGAUUACAAUUAAUCACACUUAUGUUGAGUGCUAAAAUGUAACGAAAUUUUUUAAACCGCCCAUGUAGCCAUCCAAAAGAAGCCCUUCGAUACUUCUUUACAAGUAGUCAAUUGUAAUUCACGGGAAACCACACAAGUUGUUGAUUAUCUCUCUAGAUAAUUCACGAAGCAAUCUUUGCCCGGGAUUUAACUGCUUUUAUGUAAAAAAAAUUGACAUCGCAGAUCUAAAUUUUUUGUUAUUUUGCUUCUAAUCUCAUUUUGUUGGCACAUUGCACUCACGAAAUCCUAGAGGUUCUGAGUACUACCAACUCAGGCUGAAGAUUUCGCAAGUCUGGCAUAUGACUUCGUUUCUAAACCCGAAAACGAAAGAGCCUAACCCCCAUGCCGAAGGUUUUCGAUCUUAUCCACUUGAUACUCACGAACAGUUUGAUGUAACUGUUUGGCAACUUGGUCCGAUUUUCAAGGUACUUUAUUUGACACGACACUUAUAACGACUAGUGUUUGCAAGUUUCAAGGACAGACGUGGCUUACUCUUUAAUGAAACCGUUUGGAAUUCAAUUGGGGAUACAUAUAAAAGGAAGUUAUUUUCUUAUUUUAUAAUUGCACGUUCAAAUUCACAGACGAUCAAAAAGCCCUAAAAUUUCUCUGUUCUUCAAGAGUUUUUCCAAACCCUAAUCAAUGGCUACUGCUCAAACCAAAACUGUUGAAGAAGUUGCAUCUCAACCAAUCAUGAAGAUUCAAAGCACCAACUAUCAAGUUGAGGAUGAUGUUUCGUUGCACCCAGAAGAACUCAAGAUAUUGAUUGUAGCUCUUCAACAUUUAGGUCUUGCCACUGCUAUGUUCAAUGCUUUUGAUGUUCCAAUGUCUUGGUUGUCAAUGGUUGGUUCCACUGCUACCUACAAAAAAGCUCUUGAUGUUGUAACAUUCAAUCUGGUGAAUGAAAAGAGGUUCCAUCUUACAAAGCGGUUGUUUUCUCAAAUUCUGGAAAUUCCUAACUCAUCUUCAUUCUACAAGGUAUCCACUGAUCAAAUAAUUUUUAUGUUCAACGAGAUGGUUCAUCAGCCAACACUCACCAAGAUCAGUGACUUUAAGAAGCCAAGUCUUCCUUGUAUCUGGAAUUUCUUGUUUGGAAUCUAUCUUCGUUGCUUAACUGGACGAAGUGUAGGAUUAGACAAGGGAUGAUCGGAGGUGUACGCAAUGGCUGCUGGUCUAUAUUAUGAUCUUAAUGUAGAUUAUACUAUGCAACUGUGGAAGGAGUUUAUCAAGAGUGUGGAAAACACGAAUGUGGUACAGGGGAUUUCGUGUGCUCGAUACUAGAGUUUGAUACUUCAGUAUGCUUAUGAGAAGGAAGGUAUUCCAGUUCCCAUUGAUGAAGAUAAAGCAUAAUUUAUGAAGUAUCACUUUCCGAAGUCAGUGGAAGAUGAUUUGUAGAUUGUCCCAAAUGUUGCUAGGAUUCCAGAUGGUAUGCUUAAGAAGAUUGAUCCAUCUAACUCUGUCUUGGUAUCCUAUUUGAAGAAAGUAAACCCUUCCAUUGAAACUUGUGUAUUGUUACAAAGUAAUAAUGAAGGAUCAUCAAAGAAGCAUGAGAAGGUUAAGAAGGCUACUGAUGAAGUUAUUGUUCAUGAAAGUGCAAAGAAAGUUAAGUCUAAGUCUCCUAAGAAGGUUAUUGUUAAACAGGAGAAAGUUUCGAGGAAAAUUGAGAAACCUACGAAGAAGGUGAUUACUGAAUCUUCAAAGGAGUUAAUCCCUUCGAAAUCAGGGGUUUUUAAGUGUCUAAGAAAGAUGUCUCACAAAUCACGAAACUCUUCUGAUGAUCUAUCACCAACUGUUCAAAAGACACAGAUAAACAGUAGAGGGGUAAUUGUUUGUGAUAUACCCGCUCCAGUAUCACCAUCCUCGAAGAAAAGAAGAGUUGAGGGUGCGGCAAAGCAUAUUGUCGAAAAAAGAAAGAAAAGAAAGUUGGUUGUUCGUGAAGAAUCCUCUGAUAGUGAAAUUGUCCCAGAAACACUAUUGAGAUUGACUACCUUAAUUUCACCAACAAAAAUAACAAGUCCACUCGAAAUUGUUCUUACCAAAUCAGUUACUGAGGAGGUUCCAAUUUCUAACAUUGUUACAAACGUAUCUGAUACGGGUGCACUUGUUAAUAUGAGUGUUGAAGCAUCACAAUCACUGGUUACUCAAGGUAUUCCCAAUCCAUCUCUUUUUGCACCUAUUUCAACUGUCGAUGUUUCACUUCCACCUUUUGUUACUCAAGCUCAAACAGUCACCACCUCACCUACAUUCGACCAGAUUCUACAACAACCAAUUACCACUCUUUUUCAAUCUCAAUCCACCAAUCCACCAAAACCCAAUUCCGAUGAUGAAACAGAUGGAGGAGGUUCUAGAGGAACGUUCGAUGAUUUACCAUUUGAUUCAGAAGUAGAAGAUAUACCAGAUCACAUGAUGAUGUCCGGUAAGCAAUUUAAAAUUCUGAACAUAAAACUUAACUCUAUUCUACAAUCACAAGCUGAUUCUGGAGCAAAGAACUCAGUUUCGGGAAUAGAAGUUGAUGUUCUGUUGAAGGCAGUGGAGCUCAGGCUGUAGAGACAAUUGGAUAUUGUUGAUAAAAAUAACGAGUUGAGGGUCAAGGCUCAGGCUGAUUCGUUUAACUUUGAAAUCAAAGAUCUUCGUAUGGUAGCAAAAGAACGUCACGUUCUUUUUGUUAAAGAUGUCAAGACCGUAUGAGAAGAUGUCAACCGAAAACUUGAAGAGAUGAAGGUUGAAGUCUCAAAAGAGAUAAAUGAGCUGAACUCCAACUAUUCGAUAAUCAAGUCGAAUGUUGAAACAAUAGCGGCUGCAGUCACAAAGGUUGUUGAAUGGUAUCAAUCGUUAACUCCUAAGUUUGAAGCGAAGGCUAAUGAAGAUGUUCAAAAUUUCGACAAGAUGGGAGUUUUACUUGGUGAGCUGAAAGAAUUGGUGUCCAAACCUGCUCCAACUUUGUUCUUAACUCCUGAGUAUUUAACUCAGCAGUCACACGUUCUGGAUCAAGCUAUUCAGAAGGUUGUUGCUCCGAUUUCGAAUUUUGCUAAUAUGUUACCUACUGGUGCCCAACCUGCUGUCACAGGGGUGCAAGGGGGAGAGAAAGUGAAGAAAGUUCAAGUGGGUAAAACUUUGAAAGUUUCUAAAAGAGGAAAAGAUAAGUCUAAAACUAUCGAAAAGGUGGUGCCUACUCAAGUUUCGACAAAGGUAGUGUCGACUCAAAUUUCAACUCCAAUAGUUCCAAAAGUAAAUAAAACACAAGCCAUCAAAACCACAACAAGACCUAUAUUAAAAGGAAUUGUGAUUGGUUCAACAACUGAAGGAGGGAGUUCAAGUUCUUCAAAGCCAAAGACUUCAGAAGCUGAAAAAGAUAAAGGGAAACAAAUUUUGGUUGAAAAAUCAAAGGAAGAGAAAAAGGAUGAGAUAGAUGAUGAAAUGGAGAAACAGAGGCAAAUUCAAAGUAUAAUGAGGCUUCGUGAUAAUGAUCCACCACACAUGGAUAAGGGAGAUCCUAGGAAGUUGCACAGUUACGAAAACAUCGAAGCCAGAGUGUCAUACAAUAAUAUGUAUGCAUUUGAGAAGAAACCAUGAAAGAGUUAUUCUAUCAAAAAUUCCGAUAUGAAUCAACUUGAUUUUCCAGUUUACGAAAUGAUGUUCAUAACAACACAGUAUAAGGUGAUAGAGAAGUUCAAAAAUGAAGAUGACUUUCUUCAUAUGAAACUUAGGUUUCAUGUUGUUGUUGGAAAGGAACCAGAUGAAGUUUGGUCACUUAUCAAGAUCACAAGGGUGUUAAGUAUUACAAAAGAUGUGAUGUUUGAGAACAUGAUACAGAACUUUCGUUAUCAUGUUGUUAGAGCAAACAACGUUUCUUGUGAUUUCUCAAUUGCUGAUUUCCCACUAAUGAACUUGAAUGAUUUUAUUCAAGUUGCCCGUAUUUUGAAAGACAUGGAUGCUUCGCAACUUCAAGGAACUGAUAAAGAAGUUUUGAGACUAGUUCUUGGUCACAUCAAAAUCUUUAUAGACAAUUACUAUGAUUUUCUAUCUUUGACUGAUGUCAAAUUAUCAGCUGCAACUUGGGAAUGAAGUGAAAGUGGCUAUGGAAGCGACGAAGACUCAAGCUGAACUGAAGAAAUAUUCUGAUAGGUAGAUAUGCUUAAAGCCAUUUGGAUUGGUAUUUAUGGGAAAAUACAAGAAUGGGAAUGCUAAAAGAUUUUUGUUUCAAGCAAUUGAAGUGGAGAGGUAUACUACAGCUCAAUAUACGAACUUCAUGGUUCGUAUGAAUAACUGCAAAAAGAAUAAUGAUGUUGAUAAAGCAGAGUUAAAGAAGGUUAUGAGUUGGUAUACGGAGAUUCGUAGGAUGAUGCAUUUUAUUGCACAGAUUCUCUCCAAUUGAGAAGUUCGACAUUAUUACAAAGGGGGAGAUUGUAAGGUCGAAAAUGUAUUGUAAUAUGUAGAAUUCUGUGUAAUGCUUGUUUCGUUAAUUUUGUUAUGUAUUUACUAAGGCAUCUUUGUAACGAAGACGAAUUUUCAGUCCUUAGUAUUUUUUGUACUUUCAGUCCUCCUAUAAAUAGGAGUGUUUACUUAGAGUUAGACAUGAGUUUUUCCAUGUCCUAUGUCUGAUAUUCUCUUUGUAAAACUUUGAAAGUAAUAUGAGCUAAACCAGAUUCUAUUUAGAUCUCGUGUUCUUUACUUGCUUACUCUUAUUUUAAUUCCAAUACUCGAUUAUUCACUUCUACAUGGUUGGUUCUAGUUAUCCCCGGGUGACCACCACUUCUGAUUGGGCACCACAAUUAUGGGGUACCAGUCUGACCGUGGCGUAGGCGUUGAAGAAUAUUUGCAUCAUCGGUGAGGAUGAGGAGGAUUACAUCCUAGUAGCAGCCAAAAUGAGCACCGUCUAACAGUCCCCAUGGAGGAUGCCUCAAUUCUACAUAGAGAAGGACGGUAAGUGCUCUUCUCCCCUACCCCUUUUACUUUGUUGGUAAUCAAAAAGGGGUUGAUGAGUCAUUUGUUGUUUAUAUUCGCAGGUAUCGAAAGGAUGUUGUCCUUUGAGAUGGUUAUCUGGGGUAAGUACAAGGGUGAUCUCCAGUACCAUGUGGUACCCUUGAUGGAGAUCCUUCCUCCACCUGUUAGCGCCGAUUAGGCAUUGGCGCUUGUCGCUCCUUAUACUGUCAAAGGAAAGGGUACCGCCAGUCAGGUUGACCCUGGCUUGGUGGAUGCACCAAUUCGUGGUGUUUCUUAUAAUGAUCCUCUGGUUCAGUCCUGUAAGGAUGAAGUAGCAAAGGAGGCAUUGAUUUGAGGCAACCAUGUAUCCACCAAGCGGUAGAUAACCUGGAUGGACUCCCCUAUUAGAGAGGACAAUGACCCCAAUACCAUUGGAAAACGUCUUGGCAAGAUGCACAACAUUNNNNNNNNNNNNNNNGGGGGGGGGGGGUUCCAGCUCAGUAAUCGACAUCCCUGAUGAUGAAAUUUCUCACUAAUCGUAGGGGAUAGACACAGAGGCAGCAUAACCGACACAUGAACCAAAGAAAGAAUAUAAGGAUCCCAGCAGUCGUAGCGGUGGCGAGUAUGUGAAGAAUCCAGAGGUUAACCUCCAAACUUCUCCUAGUUCUACCUCAUCUCUGAUGAGAUACAUCACUAUUUAUGGCGCUCUCCCUAUGCUACUGGUGGCUUCGGGCAUUUAUCUCCCGGAUUAGACUCUCACUCUUGGUUCCCUACUCACCCAACAUGUCGUUGCAUAUGAGUGGAGUCGCCAUGCAUUCCCUUCGACUACAAUAGAAGCCCUAAAGUCCUCUCCAACUCCCAUAUGGCGAAAAACCUUUAGUAUGCAGCGGACCAGGUUGCCCCUACUUGGUGGCUGCAGCUAGGCGCCUUCAUCAUGUGAUCUCGGAUUUGGCGGAAUUGACUAGCAUCAAAGCUUAGUGUGACGAAUUAAAGGAGAAGGUGUUGGUCUUGGAGGAGGAGAAACAUAAAUUUGAAGAGUGCUAUGAGUUUUUUUUCGGGGAGAAGGCUUCGAUGGAGGAACAAGUGACAAGCUUAGACGGAGAGGUGGAGUUCCUAUCUCGACAAGUAGAAACCUUGGAGGCGGAGAAGGAAAUGUUGGAGGGUCAAGUGAAGCAGCAUGGCAAUAAGCUGGUGACUGAGGGAUCGAGGAGGAAGAUUUUGGAGGAGGACAUCGCUUGGCAUCUCCAAAAGGGCGUUGUGUGUGUGGUGGAUCAGGUUAUCGAGAGCCCGGAGUUCUCGUUGGUGGUUCGAUAGAUGAAGACAACAUGUAUGAAAACUAGUGUCACUACAAAAAAUAUGUCAUUUAGUGGCACACAAAAAGUGACAAUAUAAGCCCAAAAAAAUGACACUGAAGGUUCUCAAAGAAUCAGCGGCAUACUUAAUAAAUGUCACUAGAAACGCUCCCACUAAAACCUUUUAGUGGCACUUUUGGUUUUUGUUGCUGCGGUUUUUAGGCUUUCAGUGGCACUUUUUUAUUUGUCACAGUAAAACAAAUUUCUUUUGUGGCACAUAUUUUGUGCCACUAAAUCUGAUUUGAUUUAAUAAUUUAUGUUACUUUUAGUUACACAUUUUAAGAUUUUAGUGACACUUUUUUUUACCAUAAUAAAAAUUAGUGGUAUUUUUUAUGUGUCACAGUAGAAGAAAUUUUUUUAUGGCAUAUAUUGUGUGCCAUUAAAAGCUCAUGUGAUUUAAAAAAUUUAUGCUACUUUUAGUUACAUAUUUUAAGAUUUUAGUGACAAUUUUAUUUGCCACAAUACAAUUUCAUCUAUAAUAUAAAAUAAAAUGAAUAAUUAAAUUGUAGCGCAUUGAAAAUAAUCAAAAUUUCAUUGUUUUUCAUCAAUAUUUGUAACUUUUUGAAUCGAAUAUCUAGGUAAAUAUCAAAUAUGUCUAAGUACAUGCUAAACAUAAAGUGAUGAACAAAAGUUAAAACAUGCAUACAAAAAUAAAAUAAAAUAAAAUAAAAAACAAAUACUUGAUAGGUUAAAUAAAUUGUGUUAUCUCAUACUCUAGAAUCAAUGCUAGCAAUUCCCUAUCAAAAAUCAAACAAAGAUAAUCCAGAAUCCAGUGAAAUAAGGCUUAGUUUAGAAAAUAAAUAAUAUAACACUCAACACAAAUAAACUAUAUUUAUAAGAAAAAAGGAAAGACAAAAGCUCAUAAAAAUGAUUACCAUCAUUAUGAAGACUUUCAGAAGAUGCUCUCUGGUUAACUGAAUUAGAGUUGCGUGGAACUGUAGAAAUGUUGCCUGGCAUCUGAAACAAAUUAAUGAAAACAUAUAACAUUAAGGCCCAACUCUCGAUACCUUCUACUAGUCUUGUACAAAUGAACAACAAGAAUGCGUUUAAGAAGAUGCACAUGUACACCAAGAAGCUUAUUCAGAAGGGGAAAAGUGGUCAUUCUUGAGUCCAAUUGGAAAUAUGAUAAUGGACUAAUUUUAAUGAAUGUUUUUUUGUUCAUAGGGUAAUUGAACCCCAUUUAUAAAAGUUUCACUACAUCUUGGUGCACAAUACAUCCAAGAUCUAUCCAUAACUGCUCCAAUAAAAAUAAACAAGUUACAUAGUUACAACAUGUACAAGUUUGAAGCCUAAUCAACUCUUAAUGGAAUCAUAUAAACACAGGAGGAAGCUAAGAAACUAAAAAACUCAUGAAUGUUGGAACACAUAAAGAAACCUAGACUAGAGCUAGUUGCAACAUGUGCAAGUUUAAAGCCUAGUCAACUCUUAGUCAUAAAAAAAUAAGCCUGGUCAACACGUAAACAACCUCGCUUAAGAGGUUAACCAACUACUGUAGUACAAUACAACUCACUUAAGAAACUAUAUCAUCAAUGAAAAUUAAUAUUCAUUUAAGAAAUAUAAACAUAUAUUAGAAAAAUAACAAACUACAUGAGUGGUUUCCAUACAUGAUAUGACAAAAACAAUAACUAUUACAAAAAAUGAAACUAUAUGUCAUUUUAUUUGUAGUAGUGAAACUAUAUGUCAUUUUAAUUGCAACAUAUAAAUACCUUUUUCAUCAUUUUACUAAUUUAGGCUGUUCUAUUUUACAGGUUCAAAGUUCCUAAAAUGUUUAUAACAUGGAACAAGAAAUUCGCAAUGACAAGUGGGAAAUUGAGAAGAGAUGAACACAAGUUUUGCUUCACUUAAACUUACUCUCAAGCAGACUAUAAGAUAGUUUGUUCAUAUUCACAACAUUUGUUUGUUUUAUAUAAAAAAAAUAAUAAAAAAAUAAAAGUUGAUAUGAAAUCAUUUUUGUGCAUUAGCUACUUAAGGGCUGAUUAAGUGAUGGUCUAACUGAAUAAGACAGAUUGUUCAUAUCUGUUUAUUUUGUUUCUUUAUCCUUAUAUUCAGUUGACUUAUCCUUCUAUCAUCAGGAUUUUUCCUCCAGUCAUUCAAUUUGCCUUUUGUGGAAGAUUAUUUUACUUUAGUUUAGGUUUCUUCUUAGUAAUUAGGAAGCUGAUAUAUUAUUUGAAUUGACUGAAUUAAGUUUUCUGUCUAGGUUGUCUAUACUGUGUCAAUAUUUUAUUAGUCUCAUCAGCAUGGUGAUUCGGAAAAAAGUAAAUACAUUAUUAUUUUUUUGGAAUGGCUGAAAAUUUUAUAAGCAUACCAGCGAGGCUUUAUUAAAUUGUUUACCGAUUGAAUUACACAAAUUAGAUAAUGACAUUCUUGUUGGCCACAAAUUAGUCUCAUCUGGAUUUGACCUUCAUGUUCUUCUCAACAGAGUCAAGAUUUUUACAAUAUUAACAAACACAUUGAUUUAAUGAACUUAAUGAGAACAUUUGUAUUUGUAUUACCAUUUAUAAAUAAUAAUGAUCGUAUAACAUUUUGCAGGCUUGCAAAGUUCCUAACAACAUGUGGUCAAAAAUAGUAAGACUUAAGAGGUUUGAGAUACCUAGACUUAAUAAAGGAAAUACAGUUUUUGGGUCAGGGGUAAGUCCAGGAAUUAUGUCUUGCAUUGUUGGCAGGCUUUUAUGUGAUACUUUUUUGUGUACUUGUGAUCUUUUAAAAGAGGUAAUAUUAAUCUUAAUAUUAAUAUAGUAUAAUUAUAAAUUAGUCUUUAUAUUUAAUUUCUAACAUUUUUUUUGGGUUUCAGGUUAGUUAUUCAUUGACAGAACUUGCAAAGACUCAGUUGAGUAAGAAUCAAAAAGAGAUUGCUCCACAUGAUAUUCCUGGAAUGUUUCAAAGUUCUCAAUCCUUAAUGGAACUCGUAUGUUCUACUUUUCAUUUCUCAACUUUGUAAAUUUUUAUUUGUUUUUUUUUUUAUUUUCAUGAUAUUGUUAAAACUGCGAUUUGCAGAUUGAAAUUGGGGAGACAGAUGCAUGGUUGCCAAUGGAACUCAUGUUCCAUUUGAGUGUUCUUCCUCUCACACGACAACCGAUUAAUAUUAAUGAUAAUCUAUGGGGAAAAACUCUUCAGGUAAACUAACGAAACAGUUAAAAAAUCAUUCACUAAUGUGUUUUUUUAGUUUUUUUUUAAUGAAUAACUUAUUAUGUGCAUGAUUUCAGGGUGCUAGAGCUCAAAGAGUGGAAUAUCUCUUGUCGCAUGCAUUCCAUGCUAAAAAAUUUAUGGUACCUGAUAAGUUUUAUACUCCAAUAGAAAACAAAACAGUAAAACAUAAAUCAGAUGGCCCAGAAGACAAAGUAAACAAUGAUUUGGGUGAAAAUGACGAAAUCGCCCCUCCAGGAAAUGAGCCUGUAAAAUCCAAAAAAGCAGCUUCAUAUGCAGGUGGACUAGUGUUGGAACCCAAAAAGGUUUAUAUGAUAAAUAUAUUUUACUUUUGGAUUUUAACAGUCUCUACCCUUCCAUUAUCCAGGUUUGUCAUGUCUCCACCAUACUUUUUAAAUUUCAACACUUUCUACCAUUCUCUAUUAUCUUUUUCUAUCUUUAAUCAGGAGUACCAUAUCUGCUUUACAACAGUAGAGAGAUUUGAAGAUGGUUUAGUUCCUCGAUUACCAUAUUCAAAAACAACUGGAACUUGAGGAAGAGAGGGAGAGGCUGAUGAAAGCUCUUGAAGAGCAGAGGACUAAAAUGAAAGGUAGCCACUGGAAAGAGGAGAUUAAGCUGGAGAAAGGGUUUGAUGAUGUGCUGACUCAAUUGAUGGACAAAUACACCAAUAAACUUGAAUUAUUUGAGCACAAACUUUACUCAUUCUUGCAGUUAGUUGAAGUUUAACUUUGACCGAUUCUAAAGAAGUCAAUUGACGUUGGGAUAUUAGCAGAGGUUAUGAGAUAUGUUUUUCUGGAGUACAUGGAUUAUAGUUUAUAUAUUUUAUGACGUGAGAAAGUCAAAAUGAAAUCACCAGUUCUAAUAAUCGAAAAAUAUUGGAGUUUUAAAGGUACUAGUGGCAGCCUCUCAUAAAAUUGAUUAACCCUAGCAGUUUGGGCAAUGAUUUUGCAACAAAUCGGGCAGUAUACAACUUCAAAUCUACAAACAAAUGAAAUUUUUAAAUACGUUAUUUGAGCAGGAAAAAUACAUAACCGUAAGAUUGAGGAUGCAGCGGCGACGAUCGAGGAAGCGGCGGCGAUCGUAAAAGCAACGGUGAUCAAAAAGAAACGACGCACAAGCCGACGACGGCAUGAUGGUCCGACGUCGACGAAGAGAGGGUGGUGAUGGUGCGUUCAGAUCAUCGUCAGGAGUGAGAUAGUGGGAGUGGUUUCUGAUAGGGUUGUACGUAUUUUUUUGACUUCCGU
This 18481-nucleotide long non-coding RNA is filed under the name Lactuca sativa (garden lettuce). RNAcentral describes it as "long non-coding RNA (LSAT_LNC003326)". The record is from RNAcentral. Lineage: Eukaryota; Viridiplantae; Streptophyta; Magnoliopsida; Asterales; Asteraceae.